GUGGGGAAUAUUGGACAAUGGGCGAAAGCCUGAUCCAGCCAUGCCGCGUGUGUGAAGAAGGUCUUCGGAUUGUAAAGCACUUUAAGUUGGGAGGAAGGGCAGUAAGUUAAUACCUUGCUGUUUUGACGUUACCGACAGAAUAAGCCCCGGCUAACUUCGUGCCAGCAGCCGCGGUAAUACGAAGGGUGCAAGCGUUAAUCGGAAUUACUGGGCGUAAAGCGCGCGUAGGUGGUUUUGUAAGUUGGAGGUGAAAUCCCCGGGCUCAACCUGGGAACUGCCUCCAAAACUGCAUGACUAGAGUACGGUAGAGGGUAGUGGAAUUUCCUGUGUAGCGGUGAAAUGCGUAGAUAUAGGAAGGAACACCAGUGGCGAAGGCGACUACCUGGACUGAUACUGACACUGAGGUGCGAAAGCGUGGGGAGCAAACAGGAUUAGAAACCCGGGUAGUCC
RNAcentral lists this ribosomal RNA (450 nucleotides) under uncultured bacterium. Its description in RNAcentral is "partial 16S ribosomal RNA". It matches the Rfam family "Bacterial small subunit ribosomal RNA", at positions 354 to 796 of the family's 1533-position model. The record is from RNAcentral.